RNAcentral lists this ribosomal RNA (253 nucleotides) under uncultured bacterium. RNAcentral's name for it is "partial 16S ribosomal RNA". It matches the Rfam family "Bacterial small subunit ribosomal RNA", at positions 524 to 776 of the family's 1533-position model. The record is from RNAcentral.
UACGUAGGGUGCAAGCGUUGUCCGGAAUUAUUGGGCGUAAAGAGCUCGUAGGCGGUUCGUCGCGUCGGCUGUGAAAUCCCGAGGCUCAACCUCGGGUCUGCAGUCGAUACGGGCGGACUGGAGUUCGGCAGGGGAGACUGGAAUUCCUGGUGUAGCGGUGAAAUGCGCAGAUAUCAGGAGGAACACCUGUGGCGAAGGCGGCCGACUGGGCCGACCCUGACGCUGAGGCGCGAAGGCGUGGGGAGCGAACGGG